RNAcentral lists this small RNA (1318 nucleotides) under Malus domestica (apple). Its description in RNAcentral is "sRNA MD14G0094100". Lineage: Eukaryota; Viridiplantae; Streptophyta; Magnoliopsida; Rosales; Rosaceae. The record is from RNAcentral.
GAAAAUCGCCCAAUUUGCAUUUGUUUAUACAUUUUCUCUCCUUUUGGGUCUGAGGCUGUUUUCUUCUCGUCCAGUUAGGGUAUCCGAGUUCACUCAGCAAUCCCACCAGCCACAGCCGGAGGUCCGGUUCGCCACACAGCUCUCCUGCACCUGUCAGAGGCCGCCGGUCGAGAUCAUUGUCGAGGUCUAGGAGAAGUCGUUCUAGGUACCGGACUGCCAUCUGGUUACAGGCCCUCGCAACCAAGAAUCUCGUGGAUUUGGCUUUGUCGCAAUGGAAACUGUUGAGAAUGCAGAACGCUGCAUCAAAUAUUUGGAUCGGUCUGUGCUUCAAGGUCGAUUAGUUACAGUUGAAAAGUAUGCUGUUGAAUUGUUUAUACUUUUUUCUUAUGAAGAUUUUACCUCUUAAAAAUGUUGCCUAACAAGUUUUGGCAGCAGGUCUGGUCACUGUAGCUUUCACUAUCUAAGCUCUACACAGUCGAAACUAUCCCCUUCACGACAUGAGUAUUUGCGUCGACAUUCAAUAAUCAUCAAUACAAACUCAACUAUUUUGCCGAGGGUUGAAUGCCCUUUAUUCCUCUCUUUCGUUUGCAACAGCGUCUUCCAUGGUUGUUAUUUACCUUACUAUUUAAUGCACUGCUAUGGACUGUCCUUUGCGAUGAUUAUGAUCCACAUGGAAGCAGCCGCAAAUGGAAGGCACUGUUACUGUUUUAAGUAGAUUGCAAAAAGGAAACGAGGGAGGACUCCAAAUCCUGGAAGGUAUCAAGGUUUGAGAGAUAAACGAGGAGGUCUACUGUGUUAUUUUAUGCCUGGCCCUCUAGAUCUGAACAAUCUGCAUUUCGGGUGUACAAUCGAGUUCGCCAUAGCUAAUUUUUGGAUUAGAGCCUAUUAUAAUGCUUUGUUUGAGUGGAUUCACAUCUCAUGUGAACCAUGGCUUACAAAGAUGCAGGACGUGAUCGUGAUCAUGACCCUAGACGAUAGUGAAGUUAUUCACCUCGUAGGUUUCAAGACAGAGAUCCUUAUUCCGGGGACCGCCGAGGAACAUCACGCUCUCGAUACGGUAUGAGGGUGGAUGAACACUGGGACUCGUACAGGAGGCGCAGAAAACGCACCUUGUCCUGUGGCAGAAACCCUAGAUAGAGAAAAUUAAUCCAAAUGAGCUUCUGACCGUCCCUGCAUUUGUUAGUUUUACACCUAGAUGUGGGGUUUUGGGAUCUUUAGUACAUUUUCACCAAGUAUUUUUGCAAUGUUGUUGUACUUGUGUAUUGUAUUUGUAUGUUAACAAUUUAUUCUUAAUAAAGUUGUUUACGUCUUCCAUUUU